This 594-nucleotide unclassified non-coding RNA is filed under the name Hevea brasiliensis (rubber tree). The record is from RNAcentral. Lineage: Eukaryota; Viridiplantae; Streptophyta; Magnoliopsida; Malpighiales; Euphorbiaceae.
GGAUCCUUCCUUGUGAAUUUCUUUAUCUUGUAUUUCUUCACCAUUAGAGUCCAAAUGUACUUUCAAAGGCUCCUGCUUGUGAAAGGGUACCAAAGGAAAAGGCAUACCUCCACAAAAAGCCCACAAUGGCAGGGGAGCAGCAGAACCAGCUUCUACAGAAUUGGAGUUUUCCUUUUGGAAUUGCAGGCAAUAAAGUGUUCCAGGAGGCCCAUGUGACAAAUGACUCCAAGUGCAUUCCCCAUUCCCAUGUUGCAGUUCUGUGGCCAUAAAGUUCCAUGGCAAAGAUUGCACAGGUUUUCUAUCAUUCGUGUCUAAUAAUGGCAGUAAUUUAGAAUUCCCUAUAGUUGGAGAAGAUGGUCUGUGACUGGGGCUUUCAGUGACUAGUACAGUCCUUCCGAAGAGCUUGAGACUCCGAGUGGAUGUUUCCUCCACUAAACCCUCUUCGGAGAAGACAUUUUCUCUGGGAAAUAAGCCAAGUUUCUCAACCUUGGGAGAUUGCUCAUCAAGAGCUGCAGCAGUUGUUGGGGCUGGUGAUGUUGAUCCAUGAUCUUCAGGUGUCAAGUUGGGUUCACAAAUUGAGGAGUCAGCAGGAUG